RNAcentral lists this transfer RNA (85 nucleotides) under Desulfobulbaceae bacterium. RNAcentral's name for it is "tRNA-Leu". It matches the Rfam family "tRNA". From Rfam's summary of the family: Transfer RNA (tRNA) molecules are approximately 80 nucleotides in length. Lineage: Bacteria; Pseudomonadati; Thermodesulfobacteriota; Desulfobulbia; Desulfobulbales; Desulfobulbaceae. The record is from RNAcentral.
GCGAGAGUGGCGAAAUUGGUAGACGCACCAGACUUAGGAUCUGGCGCGGCAACGCAUCGGGGUUCGAGUCCCCGCUCUCGCACCA